GGUUUUGUAAUCUGAAGAUCUCUCUCUUCAGUUUUGAUUGUGAAAUCAAUUUUGAAAAAAUUGAGUUUUAUAGUCUGAUAGAUCUGAUCCUUUUGUACUUUUGGAAUUUUCCCAAAUGUCUAUAAAUUUUUUAAAAUUUUCGAUUAUUAUUUCUUCACUAUUAACUAUCUUUCUCGACUUAGAGGAUGAGGUAGAAGAAUUUGAAGAAUAAACAGUCCUACAGAAAAUAAGAUUCAUACUUAAAGAAUUUUUCUAGGUUGAUCUUUUGAGUUAAGUGAGGUAAUCGCACCAGGAAUCACUGCCCUAAAACGCCCUCUCGGCUAAACGCGGGACUUACAACCCAGGCCUGUUUACACCUCUAAAGAAGCUGUCUUAUCACCUUAAGAUCAUCUUACCAACCCCAAAAAUGUUUAAAUGUGAAUCCGAACCUUAAAUAGAACGUUUUCCCCCCAGGCUCUGAUACCAAGGAGACCCUCUAUUAAAACAUUAAUCUCAUUAUUAUAAAUGGAAU
RNAcentral lists this unclassified non-coding RNA (511 nucleotides) under Hevea brasiliensis (rubber tree). The record is from RNAcentral. Lineage: Eukaryota; Viridiplantae; Streptophyta; Magnoliopsida; Malpighiales; Euphorbiaceae.